GGUUAAGCGACUAAGCGUACACGGUGGAUGCCCUGGCAGUCAGAGGCGAUGAAGGACGUGCUAAUCUGCGAUAAGCGUCGGUAAGGUGAUAUGAACCGUUAUAACCGGCGAUUUCCGAAUGGGGAAACCCAGUGUGUUUCGACACACUAUCAUUAACUGAAUCCAUAGGUUAAUGAGGCGAACCGGGGGAACUGAAACAUCUAAGUACCCCGAGGAAAAGAAAUCAACCGAGAUUCCCCCAGUAGCGGCGAGCGAACGGGGAGCAGCCCAGAGCCUGAAUCAGUGUGUGUGUUAGUGGAAGCGUCUGGAAAGGCGCGCGAUACAGGGUGACAGCCCCGUACACAAAAAUGCACAUAUUGUGAGCUCGAUGAGUAGGGCGGGACACGUGGUAUCCUGUCUGAAUAUGGGGGGACCAUCCUCCAAGGCUAAAUACUCCUGACUGACCGAUAGUGAACCAGUACCGUGAGGGAAAGGCGAAAAGAACCCCGGCGAGGGGAGUGAAAAAGAACCUGAAACCGUGUACGUACAAGCAGUGGGAGCACGCUUAGGCGUGUGACUGCGUACCUUUUGUAUAAUGGGUCAGCGACUUAUAUUCUGUAGCAAGGUUAACCGAAUAGGGGAGCCGAAGGGAAACCGAGUCUUAACUGGGCGUUAAGUUGCAGGGUAUAGACCCGAAACCCGGUGAUCUAGCCAUGGGCAGGUUGAAGGUUGGGUAACACUAACUGGAGGACCGAACCGACUAAUGUUGAAAAAUUAGCGGAUGACUUGUGGCUGGGGGUGAAAGGCCAAUCAAACCGGGAGAUAGCUGGUUCUCCCCGAAAGCUAUUUAGGUAGCGCCUCGUGAAUUCAUCUCCGGGGGUAGAGCACUGUUUCGGCAAGGGGGUCAUCCCGACUUACCAACCCGAUGCAAACUGCGAAUACCGGAGAAUGUUAUCACGGGAGACACACGGCGGGUGCUAACGUCCGUCGUGAAGAGGGAAACAACCCAGACCGCCAGCUAAGGUCCCAAAGUCAUGGUUAAGUGGGAAACGAUGUGGGAAGGCCCAGACAGCCAGGAUGUUGGCUUAGAAGCAGCCAUCAUUUAAAGAAAGCGUAAUAGCUCACUGGUCGAGUCGGCCUGCGCGGAAGAUGUAACGGGGCUAAACCAUGCACCGAAGCUGCGGCAGCGACACUGUGUGUUGUUGGGUAGGGGAGCGUUCUGUAAGCCUGUGAAGGUGUGCUGUGAGGCAUGCUGGAGGUAUCAGAAGUGCGAAUGCUGACAUAAGUAACGAUAAAGCGGGUGAAAAGCCCGCUCGCCGGAAGACCAAGGGUUCCUGUCCAACGUUAAUCGGGGCAGGGUGAGUCGACCCCUAAGGCGAGGCCGAAAGGCGUAGUCGAUGGGAAACAGGUUAAUAUUCCUGUACUUGGUGUUACUGCGAAGGGGGGACGGAGAAGGCUAUGUUGGCCGGGCGACGGUUGUCCCGGUUUAAGCGUGUAGGCUGGUUUUCCAGGCAAAUCCGGAAAAUCAAGGCUGAGGCGUGAUGACGAGGCACUACGGUGCUGAAGCAACAAAUGCCCUGCUUCCAGGAAAAUCCUCUAAGCAUCAGGUAACAUCAAAUCGUACCCCAAACCGACACAGGUGGUCAGGUAGAGAAUACCAAGGCGCUUGAGAGAACUCGGGUGAAGGAACUAGGCAAAAUGGUGCCGUAACUUCGGGAGAAGGCACGCUGAUAUGUAGGUGAAGCGACUUGCUCGUGGAGCUGAAAUCAGUCGAAGAUACCAGCUGGCUGCAACUGUUUAUUAAAAACACAGCACUGUGCAAACACGAAAGUGGACGUAUACGGUGUGACGCCUGCCCGGUGCCGGAAGGUUAAUUGAUGGGGUCAGCGCAAGCGAAGCUCUUGAUCGAAGCCCCGGUAAACGGCGGCCGUAACUAUAACGGUCCUAAGGUAGCGAAAUUCCUUGUCGGGUAAGUUCCGACCUGCACGAAUGGCGUAAUGAUGGCCAGGCUGUCUCCACCCGAGACUCAGUGAAAUUGAACUCGCUGUGAAGAUGCAGUGUACCCGCGGCAAGACGGAAAGACCCCGUGAACCUUUACUAUAGCUUGACACUGAACAUUGAGCCUUGAUGUGUAGGAUAGGUGGGAGGCUUAGAAGUGUGGACGCCAGUCUGCAUGGAGCCGACCUUGAAAUACCACCCUUUAAUGUUUGAUGUUCUAACGUUGACCCGUAAUCCGGGUUGCGGACAGUGUCUGGUGGGUAGUUUGACUGGGGCGGUCUCCUCCUAAAGAGUAACGGAGGAGCACGAAGGUUGGCUAAUCCUGGUCGGACAUCAGGAGGUUAGUGCAAUGGCAUAAGCCAGCUUGACUGCGAGCGUGACGGCGCGAGCAGGUGCGAAAGCAGGUCAUAGUGAUCCGGUGGUUCUGAAUGGAAGGGCCAUCGCUCAACGGAUAAAAGGUACUCCGGGGAUAACAGGCUGAUACCGCCCAAGAGUUCAUAUCGACGGCGGUGUUUGGCACCUCGAUGUCGGCUCAUCACAUCCUGGGGCUGAAGUAGGUCCCAAGGGUAUGGCUGUUCGCCAUUUAAAGUGGUACGCGAGCUGGGUUUAGAACGUCGUGAGACAGUUCGGUCCCUAUCUGCCGUGGGCGCUGGAGAACUGAGGGGGGCUGCUCCUAGUACGAGAGGACCGGAGUGGACGCAUCACUGGUGUUCGGGUUGUCAUGCCAAUGGCACUGCCCGGUAGCUAAAUGCGGAAGAGAUAAGUGCUGAAAGCAUCUAAGCACGAAACUUGCCCCGAGAUGAGUUCUCCCUGACCCUUUAAGGGUCCUGAAGGAACGUUGAAGACGACGACGUUGAUAGGCCGGGUGUGUAAGCGCAGCGAUGCGUUGAGCUAACCGGUACUAAUGAACCGUGAGGCUUAACCUU
Molecule: ribosomal RNA, 2903 nt
Filed under: Escherichia coli
Lineage: Bacteria; Pseudomonadati; Pseudomonadota; Gammaproteobacteria; Enterobacterales; Enterobacteriaceae
Also listed under: 1 other name
Description: 23S ribosomal RNA
Rfam family: Bacterial large subunit ribosomal RNA
Source: RNAcentral